CAGCAGCCGCGGGAAUACGAAGGGGGCUAGCGUUGCUCGGAAUGACUGGGCGUAAAGCGUGCGCAGGCGGCUUUGCAAGACAGAUGUGAAAUCCCCGGGCUCAACCUGGGAACUGCAUUUGUGACUGCAAGGCUAGAGUGCGGCAGAGGGAGAUGGAAUUCCGCGUGUAGCAGUGAAAUGCGUAGAUAUGCGGAGGAGCACCGAUGGCGAAGGCAAUCUCCUGGGCCUGCACUGACGCUCAUGCACGAAAGCGUGGGGAGCAAACAGGAUUAGAUACCCCAGUAGUCCCUGUCUCUUAUAC
This 301-nucleotide ribosomal RNA is filed under the name uncultured bacterium. Its description in RNAcentral is "partial 16S ribosomal RNA". It matches the Rfam family "Bacterial small subunit ribosomal RNA", at positions 509 to 807 of the family's 1533-position model. The record is from RNAcentral.